RNAcentral lists this ribosomal RNA (439 nucleotides) under uncultured bacterium. Its description in RNAcentral is "partial 16S ribosomal RNA". It matches the Rfam family "Bacterial small subunit ribosomal RNA", at positions 338 to 795 of the family's 1533-position model. The record is from RNAcentral.
ACUACGGGUGGCAGCAGUGGGGAAUAUUGCACAAUGGGGUAAACCCUGAUGCAGCGACGCCGCGUGAGUGAAGAAGUAUUUCGGUACGUAAAGCUCUAUCAGCAGGGAAGAAAUGACGGUACCUGACUAAGAAACCCCGGCUAACUACGUGCCAGCAGCCGCGUGAAUACGUAGGUGGCCAGCGUUAUCCGGAUUUACUGGGUGGAAAUGUAGCGUGGACGGCAGCGCAAGUCUUGAGUGAAAUCCCAUGGCUUAACCAUGGAACUGCUUUGGAAAAUGUGCAGCUGGAGUGCAGUAGAGGUAAGCGGAAUUCCUAGUGUAGCGGUGAAAUGCGUAGAUAUUAGGAGGAACACCAGUGGCGAAGGAGGCUUACUGGACUGUAACUGACGGUGAGGCUCGAAAGCGUGGGGAGCAAACAGGAUUAGAUACCCGUGUAGUC